UCCUACGGGACGCAGCAGUGGGGAAUAUUGCACAAUGGGGGAAACCCUGAUGCAGCGACGCCGCGUGAGCGAUGAAGUAUUUCGGUAUGUAAAGCUCUAUCAGCAGGGAAGAAAAUGACGGUACCUGAAUAAGAAGCCCCGGCUAACUACGUGCCAGCAGCCGCGGUAAUACGUAGGGGGCAAGCGUUAUCCGGAAUUACUGGGUGUAAAGGGUGAGUAGGCGGCAUGGUAAGCCAGAUGUGAAAGCCCGGGGCUCAACCCCGGGACUGCAUUUGGAACUGUGUGGCUGGAGUGUCGGAGAGGCG
Molecule: ribosomal RNA, 305 nt
Filed under: uncultured bacterium
Lineage: Bacteria
Description: bacterial SSU rRNA
Rfam family: Bacterial small subunit ribosomal RNA
Source: RNAcentral